Molecule: long non-coding RNA, 335 nt
Organism: Nematolebias whitei (Rio pearlfish)
Lineage: Eukaryota; Metazoa; Chordata; Actinopteri; Cyprinodontiformes; Rivulidae
Exons: 3
Source: RefSeq, a predicted model, not a curated record
GCUCCUACCACACAACUGGCAAAGAUAUCCAAGCUACUUUUGUCAAUGGAAAAAGGACAUCUUUCCAACCUGCAAGGGAAGUCCCUGGAUGAAAUCGAAAUUGAAGAUGAAAUUUCAUUAAGUGAUGCUGAAGCCAUGGGAAGUGAGAAUGAAUCAGAUGACCAUGAGGCACAAGAGUGUGGAAACAUUGUGACUGUGGAAGCUUCAACAAACUCGCCAAUAACUGAACAAAUCCAUCACACUGAUGACGAAAAAAACUCAAGUCAAGGAUCAAGAAGAAUUCCAAAGAAGCCGUGGUCAAAUGCUGAAGUGUCUGCUGUAAUGCGUCAUUUCAU